AUUGAACGCUGGCGGCAUGCCUAACACAUGCAAGUCGAACGGCAGCAUAGAGCUUAUUGCUUCUUGGGUGGCCAGCGGGGAGCGGGCGGGCCAUAUAUCUGAACGAACCGAGGGAAGGGGGAUAACUAACCGAAAGAUAACCUAAUACCGAAUAUUUUUUGAGGAGGAAAGAAGGGGAGCUGCGGGCCUUGCGUUAUUCGAUCGGCCGAGAUCUAAUUGGCUAGUUGUUGGGGUAUAGGCCGGCCAAGCCGCCGAACGGUAACGGGCCUGAGAGGAUGAUCCGCCAGACUGGCACUGAGACACGGCCCAGACACCGACGGGAGGAAGCAGUGGGGAAUUUUGGACAAUGGGGGCAAGCCUGAUCCAGCCAUGCCGCGUGUCUGAAGAAGGCCUUCGGCUUGUAAAGGACUGUUGUCAGGGAGGAAGAGACGGUUGCUAAUAUCGGCAGCUGAUGACGGUACCGGAAGAAUAAGCACCGGCUAACUACGUG
Molecule: ribosomal RNA, 490 nt
Filed under: uncultured bacterium
Lineage: Bacteria
Description: partial 16S ribosomal RNA
Rfam family: Bacterial small subunit ribosomal RNA
Source: RNAcentral